Molecule: long non-coding RNA, 1178 nt
Organism: Homo sapiens (human)
Lineage: Eukaryota; Metazoa; Chordata; Mammalia; Primates; Hominidae
Product: long intergenic non-protein coding RNA 2405
Source: Ensembl
GCCUGUCCUCGCCUAGGUCCCUGGGGCUAGAGGCCUAGUCACGGACUCUGCCCUUUCUACCCCGCGCUUUCCUUCCCGGCUUCCGUAUCAUUUAAAGGGACCGUGCUCUUCCUUUCCCAGCACUCCGGCUUGAGUGUUAAAUGGCCAGCAGGAAUUAUCCACUAGAGAAGCGGAAGGGAGAGAAUGGAAAUGGCCGCAUGCAGCUCCUCUCCCUCAGACAGCUCGGGGCUCAGCGGAAUGAGCACAGUCUGCAGGACAAGUGCGGAGGACUUCAGUCCCCUCUACUGUAUAUUGGCUUUAGGACUCAAGUUGUCCCUGAAAUAGAGGAAGGUGUUUUCUAGGGUAGUGGUAAUUAUCACAGUCAAAAAAGUAGGCGAGAGCACUUAGGAAAACUGUGCGGAGAUCGGCUGCUGAUGUGUAAAUACUGCUGAAGCUGCUUAUUCAAGAUUAGAAAACCUGAGACCCAGACGGGGGAAACUGCUUUCCAUGGUUAAUCGUCAACAACUGGCCAGGAUGGGACAGAAGCCCAUACAUAGCCUUCAUUCCAGGGCUCAGAACAAAAAGAAGGCAGUGGCCUGGGCUGCACCUGAGCUUGGCUUCACAUAGGAGGGAUUCUGGAACGCAGGAUCCUGACAACGACCUCAAGGCAGUGAACUCCAAAUUUGACCAAGACGCAGCCUUUGUCCUGUUAUUUUUAUAACCUCCAAGGGAGGACACGGCGCCUGUGGAGGUCAUCAUUUUGAUCAUUUCGCAAGGUAGACGCUGGCCAGGAUGAUGACAGAGAUGUAGACCUGAUGCCCAGAAUCUCAGGAGUGUGAACGUCUUGUUUUCCCAUCAUAAAACAGGAAACGUCAUUCCUGGGGAAGAACACCCAAUGAACAGGCACCUCCUUAGAGAGAUGGUGCAUUUUUAACUAGGAAGAAAGGAAACAUAUGUUCAAUGUAAGGACAACCUUUACAAAUGGGAAGAAGAGAGAUCUUGGCUGAUUUUACCUCUGUAAUUAUGGCAAAGGGACAAUUGAAUGGGUGGAAAGUGAACAUGCAGUCCUUCCUUUGGAGUAAGGUUAUUAAUUUUGGUUUUACCUCUGUAUCUCAUUUAUGCAAGGUUCAGGAAAUAUUCUGUGAUGAUAGCUGUAUUAGAUUCCUAGGGGCUACAUAAUAAAGUACCAUUACCAUCAA